Molecule: long non-coding RNA, 851 nt
Organism: Bombina bombina (fire-bellied toad)
Lineage: Eukaryota; Metazoa; Chordata; Amphibia; Anura; Bombinatoridae
Exons: 4
Source: RefSeq, a predicted model, not a curated record
UGUUCAUGCAGGAGCUUUACCCUGAAGCAACAAGUGCCUGUCUCUUCGUUUUCAAGCCUUUUUUGACAUCAGCUUUUCUUCUAAAGGAAGUUUUUUGGAUAUUCUUCUACUAACUUAUUUCUCUUAUUUUUAUUCCAGAAGAACAUUUGUCUAAGUUAAUUUGUAACUUUGCCUUUCUUUCUGUGCUGGUUCCUUGUUUCUGUGUCAUCCAAUCAAGCAAGUGCAGUCUGACACACCUCCUUUUGCUGCAGCUCAUACAGGUUUGAUUUCCAGUAUUAAAGCACCUCAGCUACUGUGUGUGGAUUUUCUCUGUAUUCAGACACCUUCUCCUUGUUGCUGACAAGCAAUCUAGGAUCAACUUAUUUCCAGUUUUCUGACGUUUCUACUUUGUACUCCAGAUCCUCACAAUGAAUCAUUACAUAUUUCCAAGCCAAAAUGGAUCCUGUAGACCUCACAAACCACGUACAUAACCUGAACCAAAGAGUGGACCUAUUAACUCAAGGUUUAAGAGAACUCCAGGUUGAAAAUGAGACAUUAAAGGCUAUCCUUAAAGACACAGUCACAAGAGCACAUUCUACAGGACAAACACCAGAACCUAUGUAUCCUCUAGUUCUCCAUCUCCAAGACCUUCAGAAGAACCUAUGGACGUAGGUUUUGUCAGAGGACCUCUCAAAGCAGAGGAGAAAAUAAGAAGACGUAUGCAUAACAUGCCUCUACUGUGCAGCGAAAGACCACAAGUGGGAUCGCCAAGAGAUUCAUACUAAAGACAUCAUUGAUUCAGGAGCAUCCGGCCUUUUCAGUGAUUCUAGUAUUGUAGAAAAAAAUAAAAUUCCAAAAGUUCAAAAAGCAAA